This 136-nucleotide ribosomal RNA is filed under the name uncultured beta proteobacterium. RNAcentral describes it as "partial 16S ribosomal RNA". It matches the Rfam family "Bacterial small subunit ribosomal RNA", at positions 383 to 507 of the family's 1533-position model. Lineage: Bacteria; Pseudomonadati; Pseudomonadota; Betaproteobacteria. The record is from RNAcentral.
CUGAUCCAGUCCAUGCCGCGUGAGUGAAGAAGGCCUUCGGGUUGUAAAGCUCUUUUAGCUCGGAAAGAAAAAGUCGCAAUGAAUAAUAUAGUAGUCUUAUGACGGUUCCGACAGAAAAAGCACCGGUAACUACGUG